RNAcentral lists this ribosomal RNA (642 nucleotides) under uncultured Gammaproteobacteria bacterium. RNAcentral describes it as "bacterial SSU rRNA". It matches the Rfam family "Bacterial small subunit ribosomal RNA", at positions 340 to 974 of the family's 1533-position model. The record is from RNAcentral. Lineage: Bacteria; Pseudomonadati; Pseudomonadota; Gammaproteobacteria.
UACGGGAGGCAGCAGUGGGGAAUAUUGGACAAUGGGCGCAAGCCUGAUCCAGCCAUGCCGCGUGUGUGAAGAAGGCUUUCGGGUUGUAAAGUACUUUCAGUGGGGAAGAAGGCCUGGGGGCUAAUACCCCCGAGGGAGGACAUCACCCACAGAAGAAGCACCGGCUAACUCCGUGCCAGCAGCCGCGGUAAUACGGAGGGUGCGAGCGUUAAUCGGAAUGACUGGGCGUAAAGCGCGCGUAGGUGGCGUGAUAAGCCGGUUGUGAAAGCCCCGGGCUCAACCUGGGAACGGCAUCCGGAACUGUCAGGCUAGAGUGCAGGAGAGGAAGGUGGAAUUCCCGGUGUAGCGGUGAAAUGCGUAGAGAUCGGGAGGAAUACCAGUGGCGAAGGCGGCCUUCUGGACUGACACUGACACUGAGGUGCGAAAGCGUGGGUAGCAAACAGGAUUAGAUACCCUGGUAGUCCACGCCGUAAACGAUGUCGACUAGCCGUUGGGUUCCUCGAGGACUUAGUGGCGCAGUUAACGCGAUAAGUCGACCGCCUGGGGAGUACGGCCGCAAGGUUAAAACUCAAAUGAAUUGACGGGGGCCCGCACAAGCGGUGGAGCAUGUGGUUUAAUUCGAUGCAACGCGAAGAACCUUAC